GAGUAGUUAACUCAAUGGCAGAGUAUUUCUCUUACAAAGAAAAGGUUACUGGUUCAAAUCCAUUACUACUUA
Molecule: transfer RNA, 72 nt
Filed under: Cryptomonas gyropyrenoidosa
Lineage: Eukaryota; Cryptophyceae; Cryptomonadales; Cryptomonadaceae
Description: tRNA-Val
Rfam family: tRNA
About the family: Transfer RNA (tRNA) molecules are approximately 80 nucleotides in length. Their secondary structure includes four short double-helical elements and three loops (D, anti-codon, and T loops).
Source: RNAcentral